RNAcentral lists this ribosomal RNA (254 nucleotides) under uncultured bacterium. RNAcentral's name for it is "partial 16S ribosomal RNA". It matches the Rfam family "Bacterial small subunit ribosomal RNA", at positions 524 to 776 of the family's 1533-position model. The record is from RNAcentral.
UACGUAGGGGGCGAGCGUUGUCCGGAGUUACUGGGCGUAAAGCGCACGCAGGCGGUCUGCUAAGUUUGGAGUGACAGUUGGUGGCUUAACUGCCAAAGUGCUUCGAAAACUGACAGACUUGAGGGCUUCAGAGGGACACGGAAUUCCGGGUGGAGUGGUGAAAUGCGUAGAGAUCCGGAAGAACACCGGUGGCGAAGGCGGUCUGCUGGGCAGUUGCUGACACUGAGGCGCGACGAGCGUGGGGAGCAAACAGG